UGCCAAGCAUUAGUCUCAGAUUUUCUUUCUGUUUAUUUUUCUGUCAUUUUCUUGGAAACCAAACAUAGGGUUGCCGUAGCCAAUUAGCAGAGCAAAAGCAUUGAUUAUCAUCAAAUGACGCAAUUACUUGCAUCGAAGGUUGGCCUUGUACAAAUCAGCGAACUUCCUCUAUUCUCUCAACUCGUUUGGUUGCCGAGAAAGUAUAGGAAACCGUAAAAAAAAAAAAAAUUCAUCUGGUCAAUUUGGCUGUUUAGCUGCUAUUCAUGUUGUGAUGCAUAAAUUUGGGCUUUGCUUCCCCUAUUUUCACUGAACAUCAGCAAGAUUUAUCCAUUCAUAGAAUAUUUUGAGAGUCAAAUGAAUUUUUCAAGGAACAUUUUCGAUUAAAGACGCUCACUCGGAGCCAGAGGUGAUGGUGGAAGCGAUGGUGACGUUGGAAGAUCUGGGACGGAGAGAAAGAGAAGGAAACUUCCCGGGUUGAAAGGAAGGUUCAGGCACUGAGAUGUAAAUUAUGAACAGAAAACUUUCAGAGGAAAAUUUUGGCUCACUCACUGGGGCUGCAUUUGCAGUUAUCAAGGAGCCAUAAUUUCCUUCUCCACUACCUCUCACCACCACCGGUGCUGAGCUCUCUAAGUUGCUUCCUUGAUUGGAAUACGUACAGUGUCCUAUCAUUUCCUUUUUGCUAA
Vitis vinifera (wine grape) is the source of this 683-nucleotide long non-coding RNA. RefSeq lists it as uncharacterized. The record is from RefSeq and is a predicted model, not a curated record. Lineage: Eukaryota; Viridiplantae; Streptophyta; Magnoliopsida; Vitales; Vitaceae. The transcript has 2 exons.